Rattus norvegicus (Norway rat) is the source of this 12034-nucleotide long non-coding RNA. RefSeq lists it as uncharacterized. NCBI's taxonomy places the organism in Eukaryota, Metazoa, Chordata, Mammalia, Rodentia, Muridae. The record is from RefSeq and is a predicted model, not a curated record.
UGAAGAUAAAGAAAAUAAGUAAACUUUUAAGCUUUUCUCCAUCUUUAAACUUUAUUAUGAAUCGUAUUUAUUAUAAAUUGGAGCUAUAUAACGUAAGUCACAGAAGCAUGUGUGCAGUCACUGUGGGACACCUAAGGACACACUGCUCUAAACACCCGUGUAAAUUCCAAGCACAUUCUCUCCUAUCUCUUAAAAACUACUGACUUUUCAUCCUCUGACUCCUUCUGGAACUCUAUUAUCAAAGUGUAGCCAGCGAUUGCACUUUACCUGAGCAGAGGUCCCAGGGUCGGCCAUGUUUCCCUGCCACACCAACAUAAGUCAUUGUGAAAGGCCUAGAAGGUGUGACUCAGCACACACAGGUCGUCUGCUGUGUGACCUCACUGGAGCUCUCAGUGACCAAAGGCCACAGUCAGUCCUGAGUCCUGAAGGGGUGUGAGGCACCCAGACCAUGAUCCAUAAGUACAGACAUAAGUAGGAAGCGUCAACUAGCCUCUCAAAGUUGGGUCCACCAACCCAUGGCAUUCUGCUUUCAAGAUGUCUGCCAAAGCAGGGCCUCUGGGGUUCUUGCAGGGAUAGGGAGAUUCUGGUGCUGCUAUCUACCUGCUAGCAUGUUGCCACAUGCUACCACAAAAGAAAAGACAUACUUUCCCCAGGACCCAGAAAUGAAGGAAAACUCCAAGUGAAUUUUAACCUACAGAGACCAGAGGGGCUGUUUAAACGGUUGUGUCAAACUGCAUUUACCACCCACUCCAUUCUAUCCUGGAAGUAAAAUCUACAAGAAGAUACAAUGAGUUACAGAGAAAUAAGGAAGUCAAAGUCCUACCCUGAGGUCCCAACCACAUCUGGACGUGCCUGGAACUUUGGCAGAGGAAGCUGGCUGGAAAUCUGUUUGAGAGAUGAAAAAAGGGCCCCUCUGGGAGGUUAUUCUCACACUAAAAACAAAACAAGUUGGGCUGGGAAACAAAGCCUUAGUUGACAGGAGUUGGAUGAUCCGAGGCCCACAGAGCCUUGCUUUGUGGACUUUCCUGCUGAGUGACACUAAAGGGACCGCAGGCUACCAUCCGGCUUGGUAGUUCCCAGGAAAAAGAAGGUGGACUGUUCAGUGGCCACAGUGACUCCCCCAAGGCAGGCAUGUUCUGCCCUCUGAAGCAGGCUGCAACACUUCUGGGAGAUGCUCCCAAAUGGACUCCUGCCUUUCACUGGUGACAGGUUUCUAUCCAGUCUAAAAUAUUUAUGUGGCUCAGUAUCUGGAAUCCUCCUAGACGGUGGAAGAGCAGAGCAGCUCGGAAUCCUUGCACAGCCCCAUAGAGUGGAGCUAUCUUACCAAACGUUCCGUCCUCAACUGAAACACAAGUGACUCUGGUGCCCAGUGCUGAAACAAUGCCUGACACCUAGAAACUCCAAUAAGCAAACAAAUACAGACUGAGCUGUUGAAAGAUCGAAUGAAACCAAAGUGUCAGGCCCUGUCCUUGCUGCUAUACUUUAAGAACAAAAAUUCUUUGACCACUCAGAAUGGCCAAAAUGCCCAGUUUUUCAAAAUCAGCCUUGUUAGAUACUUCAGCACAGCAACACUCAGAGAACAGUGAGGUGUUCCUGUCCCUCCAGGGUUCCCAUAAUGCCUUGGGGCAAGAAAGCAAUACUCAAAGGCGAAGCAGGCCCGAGCCCAGAGUGAGCGCUGCUGGACUCCUGUUAGGACAGCUAUUAGAUUUGUGGUUACCGGAACAAAACGUGGAUGUUACAGCCAUUGUACCAAGAAAGUAAAAUGCCAGCGACGAGCUUGGCAGAAGAAGGGAGUAAAAGGGUCCGUGCAGAAUAAAUGGUUCCGCUCCUGGAGCUGACAGUCAGUUUGAGGUACUUCGAGAGGCUGCUAGGGAGCCUCAGAGGGGCAGCAGCAUUGCCUCGGGGCUUCAAUAGAGCUGUGUUGGAUGAAACAGAAACAGAAACAGAAACUGUGGUACGCUAAACUGCCUUGGCCGUCCUCACAGAGAGAGAAAACAACAGAAUGAAUGACGGCAACACGAGUGAGUGAUGGAGAGGAAAGAGGAAGCUGGCUUGUUUGGCCAUCGCAGAUGGAGGAAUGAAACACAUCUGUGGGAUCCUGGGCAUCCUGACUGAGGUGGACAGAGACCUUUUGUCUAAGGUCAUCUCAGAAGGGAGCCUUUGGACAAUAAGAUCCUCAUAUUUAGACCAGUGAGGGUCUCAGUGGAAAGACCCCUCAUCAGUAGUAAGAGACCUUGUAGCAUGAAGCUGUCUCGGGCGUCCUCGGCCAUGGUAGAACCAGAUAGCUUCUAAAGCUUCAGGAAUUUCUAAAGGAGCAGACAUUCUUACCCCUGAGAUAAGACUAAAAGAGGAAAACUGGGGACCCCACAGAUAUCCUACAGUAGGGAUGAGAAACAUAGAAAGACGAUAUCUGGGCCAUUUGGGGGGGUCACACGGAAACUGGGAUAUCUUGGUAGAGACUGUAGGGGAAGGAUGCUGUACCUAAAACAAGUAUGCCAUUCACUCAAGACCCGAUGGCCAAGAUAUGACAUAGUUCCACCACCCCCAUUAAGAUGUGGCCAACAGAGGCGUUGCAGAACUAACUUAAAUGACCAGGUUUGCCUUAAUUCAAUCAUCAUGGCUUUUGUUACCAGCUGUACAGAGUUUCCAAGGAGAGAAUAUGAUUUUUAAGUUUUGUGUGUAGCACACCAGAAUAUUUAACAUGGACAUUCAGCCUAAAUGUGUUAACUCUUUCCGGAUUAGAGUCCGUGGACAGAUAACAUCUUUCACCUGGGCAUUGCAAUGAACUCAGAACCAGAGCUGGGUAGGAAGAUCAGGAGUUCAGCUACAUAGUAAGUGUACUGGCUGGUUUUGUGUGUCAACUUGACACAAGCUGGAGUUAUCACAGAGAAAGGAGCUUCAGAUGAGGAAAUGCCUCCACGGGACCCAGCAUUUUCUCAACUAGUGAUCAAUAUGAGGACCCAGCCCAUUAUAAGUGGUGCCAUCCCUGGACUGGUAGUCUUGGGUUCUAUAAGAGAGCAAGCUGAGCAAGCCAGGUGAAACAAGCCAGUAAGAAACAUCCCUCCAUGGCCUCUGCAUCAGAUCCUGCUUGCUGACCUGCUUGAAUUCCAGUCCUGACUUCCUUUGGUGAUAAACAGCAAUGUUGAAGUGUAAGCUGAAUAAACCCUUUCCUCCACAACUUGCUUCUUGGUCAUGAUGUUUGUGCAGGAAUAAAAAAACCUGACUAAGACAGUAAGUUUAAGGCCAGUCUGACUACAUGGGACUCUCUCAUUAACAAACAAGAAACAAAAAUCCCCAGAAUCAGCCUCCAGUAUUUGUUGAAGUAUCUUAAGAUAAAUAUUCCUCAGGUUGAAGAUGACUCCCAUCUCCACCAUUUUCAGUGCCAGGUACUACAUGGAAGUUUCUAGAAAGAAAGAACAACAAGGUGUAUAUGGGGCAACCCUGUGGAACUGCUGUCAGUUCCAGGCUGGGGUGGCAGGAGCUCCCGAGACGGGGAGAAACAUUCUGGGCUGAGGUAAGAGUAGCAAAUUCAAAUCCCAUGAAGACCCAGCUCAGUGGGAAAGCAGCAUGUGGGCUGUGUGCCUGGAGCAAACCGUUGGAAUGGGGGAUGUUUUAUGUUCCACUUACACGGCCAAGAGUCAGAACCCGAGAUGAGCUGAGCUGCCUGUUUCCCAUGGCGUUUCAGCAACCCUGAGUAUCUUUCUCUGUGUGUGAAUGAGUUCAGACCAAGGGCUGGCCAGGGAACUGACACCCCCUUCCUCUCAUGUGGAGUUCUUAUAGAGAGGAGCCAGCUGGGGGGGAGUUGCUUGGAGAAAAGGCAUGCUUCCUGGGCCAAGAAACCUCAGGAAGACGCCAAACGGGCGGGCAGGGCAGCCCAACCAGCAGGAUAGUCCACAGGCUCUUUCCAGCUGACCCUGAGACGCUGAUCUUCUGCCAGAGCUGGCCUGAUCUCUGCAGUUGCAAAGCCAACUCAAGGUUUCAGCACUGCGAGACCUUGAUUGCUCUCCUCCCUGUCCCAGCCCUCCACCCUUCUAGGUACACACAGAGAUAACUAUCAGCAUGUUCUCUCCCACGUUCAACCUAAUCUCUUCGCUAUGGAGAGUUCCCCAACCUUCCUACUGUGCAUUGAUUGAGAACAGACCUGAGCUGUCCAGUCCUUCUAACAAGCUUAACCAAUUCCUCUCCAGAUCCUAGUUGCCAGGGAAGAAGGUGUCUGAAGCAGCUAAGUGACUCUCCAUAGAGAAUGUAAUUCCAAUGUCCAGUCUGUUGGCCAUGUUCUGAAGGGAUGUUAAGGUAGUCCCCAGGAAUGCAGGGAGAAGGUCAGCUCAGAGGAGAAGGACACAGAAGGGGGAGGAAGUCAUGUCACUCUUGUAUCAUGAGGUUGUGGUGAAGAGUUUGGGAUUGCCUUCAUAAUGAGUGGGUUUACUAUGAGCAUAGACUGCAGAACCUUGAAGCAGCAGUUGGUGUGGAAACACCCUUCGUGUGUGUACAAAUUCUCUGUGUUAUGUGUGUGGUUACACAUGCAUUUGUGCACACAUGGGUAUACUCCUCAUUUACUUUCUAGGGUUUUUGUUUGUUUGUUUGUUUGUUUGUUUGUUUGUUUUGACAUAGGGUCUCUCUCCAAACCUGCAGCUCACUGGUUCAGUUACACCCGCCGAGCAGCCAUCACGUUCCUGCACUGGGAUUACAGGUGUGGCUGCUCUGCCCAGCUGUUCAGAUGGGCACUGGGGAUCUGAACUCAGGUCCUUAUGCUUGUGUAACAUGCACUUUGUCGGCUAAGCCAUAUCCCCAGCCCCUCAUAACAUCUUCAAGAAGCCCAAUGAGAGUUCAGGAAACUCAGCAGGGAAUUGAGGAAGAACUCUAUGAAAGGAAGGCUAUGUUCUCCAUGUGAGGUAACAAGCCCAGGGCAGCUAGAGUUACACAGUUAAGAAAGGUGGACCCAAAGCAAGGAAAGUAAGGACAAAGUUGAACCCAAAUAGUCAUUGGCACCCGUGUCUUCCUUUCACAUGCGGGAGAGUGUUGGGCAGAAGAUAACAGAGCCCAGAUUGGGGAAGAAGCGUGAACUGGAGUCUGGCUGCACACUGAUGAUGCCAUGUAGCAGGUUAGUGUACAGCUGCCCGCCUUCCAAGGCUGACUUCCAAGAUGACUGCAGCUGCUGCCAUCUGAUGCUUCUUUCUAGAACAUACACCUGAGUCCGUGUAGGGAAGGGAACUCUGGGAAAUGUGUAGCUUAGAUUGGUUGAUGCAGUAGGAGCUUCCACAGAGUGGGAAACUGAGAAGUAAGAGCUGAGCCAGUCUUUGAUUCUGGUUGUGGUUCCCAUGACAAAGGCUCGUAGAUAAACCUCCCAGUGCUUCUGGGGAAGGGCAGCAUAGGGCGUUCGCUUGUCUCCUUUCACUCACUCUUUUCCAUGAUAAGUGUAUUUAUUGUCUUCUGUUUUUCAUGCUCUCAGAUCUACACUCUUAAAUUCUUUAAUGCCUGCAUCUCUAGAGUGCUUUGAAUGUUAUGGGGAGUCACCACCCACCUUCUGGUUGGAUCGAAGGCCAGUUUUACAGGAAGAAACUCAAGCCUGGUACUGCAAAUCUGGCCAGGUCUGGGGAGCCAUAGGCACCCUGGUGAAGCUCUCACUAUUGAUUUGCUACAGGCCAUAGCGUCAGACUGCUUUCUACAUUCGUGUCUCUGUACCCAUGCAUCAACACAGCUCUCUAUCCUCAUCUGGGAAAUGUUCCUGUGCAGUGGACAGUGGUUAAUGGGGAGACUCACAACUAGUUACAGUGUAGGCAGCAAGUAGUCAGCAAGAAGGCUGUGCCUCAAGGCUCAAGAAUACUGAAGAAGGGUGUGUGAAAAGAUUAUAAAAGCCAGAGGUCAGGAAGAGCUGUAGCUAAUCAGUGUCUUCUGAACAUGACAAGACCAUUGUAGUCAUGAACUAAAAGCAGCUCUGGUUGUCUGCACAAAACCUACACAAGAUCAAGCCAGUUAACUUUCCAGCUCUGGCCUCUGGGGCCUGGGGAAUCCUCUCAUAAGAAACUGUGAUGUGGGCUGGAGGGAUGGCUCAGUGGUUAAGAGCACUGACUGCUCUUCCAGAGGUUCUGAGUUCAGUUCCCAGCAACCACAUGGUGGCUCACAACCAUCUGUAAUGGAAUCUGAUGCCCUCUUCUAGUGUGUGUUUGAAGACACCUACAGUGUGUGUGUGUGUGUGUGUGUGUGUGUGUGUGUGUAUGUGUGUGUGUGUGUGUGUAUGUGUGUGUGUGUGUGUGUAUGUGUGUGUGUGUGUGUGUGUGUGUGUGUGUAUACACAGAAAGGGGGAAGGAAGAAACCAUGAUGAUUGAUACUGAUUUUAGAUCAUAGGUGACUAAAAGCUUCCUACUGAUUUAUGAAGCUGAACUAAUUAGAAUGCUCACAUUGAAUACAAAACCAGAUUAUAAGUAGCUGGAUUUAGGAAUGCAGUUGCGAAAUUCCUUACUGGGUGUUAGCAAAUACACACACUUGCUGUAUUUUAGUGAUUAAAAUCUGUUUGGAACUUUUAAUUCCAGGCAAAGGCAGGGAGGUCUCUAUGAGGGUCAGGUCAGCCUGGUCUACAGAGCAAAUUCUAGGACAGCCAGGACUAUAUAGAGAAACCCUGUCUUGAAAAGCAAAAAUUAUCAAAAAAAAAUAUAGCUCGAAGCCAGAAACUAUCACAGGAUACUAAAUUCAUUAUAAUAAGUAAGCACUCAAAACCAUACAAUAAAAACUGAAAGAACAUCUGAUUAACUAUUAAUUAACUACUAUUAAUUAAUUAAAGUGAUGACUACAGGGGCUGGAGAGAUAGCUCAGUGGUUAAGAGCAAUGGAUGCUCUUACAGUAGGCCCAGGUUCAGUUCUCAACACAUGCAUGGCAGUUCCCAACCACCUGUAACUCUAGUUCCAGGGAAUCUGACUCCUUCUCUAGGCCCCAGGCACCUGUAUGGUGCACAUAUAUACAUGCACACAAUACUUACACACAUAAAACAAAGCUAAAAUAUUUUCAAAUGAAUUGCAUCAUAAAAAUCAAGAAUGGAAUUCUAGACUACCAAGGUGGUGGUGCAAUACGCCAAUGUCUCUUACAUUCUGAGAGUCUUGGAUUUUGCUGGACCUCACAGCCAGAGUUAAUAAUACACCUUCAGGUCACCUAAGAUUUGAGAUUGCUGUCCUACUGUGUACUCAGCUUGUUUGUUUAACCUGCCUUUAGGAGAACAAAUGUUAACAAUUGACUUUCCUUGCCUUGGAGUUCCCAUGUGAUCAACUUUUACAACCUAGGCAAAUGCAUGGCUGAAACCUUGUUAUAUAUACCCGUAUGUGCCCUUGACCCAGAAUAGUGUGUGUGUGUGUGUGUGUGUGUGUGUGUGUGUGUGUGUGUGUGUGAUGGCAACAAAUACUGAAAACAGCAAAUAGGUCAAAAGCAACCUUCUAAGGUGAAUAUCUGCUGUGCAUGCUGAAGACGAUACAUUGCUUGACUGUAAGCAUUUGUUUGUUUUCUGGGUCAUUUGUUGGAGUCAAUGACUUAAUCCCUCAUUCCUUCCCCAUGUGAUACUUUCUGUGCUCAAAAACUACAGACCAAAAGCCCUUUGUUAGGGACACAGACAUAGAACAGAGCGACACAGGCACAGGGACCGAUUCACAAGACAGCAUUCAGGCAAGCAAGGAUUCAGACUCAGAACAGACAGAUAGGAAAUGGCAGAAGAUAUAUAGAGAGAGUAGAGAAUUCAUAUCUCGGCUCACUCUUCGUUAAAGUGCUUUUGGGUGCUCUGAGAUUAUCAUUUGAUGUGUAUCCAUCCGACCUGGGGGUGGAGAUAUGGUCUUUACUAAAACAGAAUCCUUACUUUGGACACAGAAACAUAGUUGGCUAUACAAAGCGCUUAAAGGAACUCUGGGUUGAGAGUACUUAACUUUCUCUCUUGCAAAUAUUUUCCAGAAAUUUAUUCACUUUAUUGGCGAUUUCUUGGCAAGAAAUUGCAAUAGAUUCUUAACUGGAGAGAUUGCAGUAUUGAUGUCUAUUGUACAGUAUAUUAAUAUAUACAAUAUUCAAAAGAUGUCUCACAAAAUAAAAGAUAGCAUAAACAACACUGGUGGAGAAUGUAAGUGCAGGAGACUUGAGAGAUGGCUCAGUGGUUAGGGCCUGACUCCUUGAUGAUGGGAUAUAAUGUGAAUGGUAAAAUGAACACUUUAGUCCCCAGGUUGCUCUCUAUCUCAGCGUUUACCACAGCAACAGAAGCAAAGUUAGACAGGAGACUUAGAGCAAAGCCUGGAUACCUUUGCUAUAGGCCUUAGAUGCUACCUGAUGACAUUCCUAGCCUUUGGGUUAGUGAAACUACAAGUCAGUAUAUACCAAAAGGAAUGACCUAAUAGUCACAAGGAGGUCACGUCACACAGUGACUUAGAGGCUGAGAUGGUCCAAGUGAAAUUGGAUCUGGAUCUGCAACAUCCUAACUCUCUAUGUACAGUCAAUUAGCCUCGUAGAAUGCUUAAUACAGAUGUGGCUUUUUUUGUGUUUGUUUUCCCAGAAUCAAUCAUCAACCAUCACCACAACAACCCAGGGCAACUGUUAUGUGAUAUAUAUAUAUUUUUUCUUGCCCACGACAUUUUUUAACUUGCUUUUUGGGUUGGUGGCAGGUCAUGCUUGUGGAGGUCAGAGAACAACUUGCAGACGUUGGUUCUCUCCUUCCACCUUAUAGGUUCUGAGGAUCAAAUUCAAGUCACCGGUUUGGUAGAAAGCACCUUUACCCACUGAGCCAUUCUGUCUGCCCUUGGUCCAUCCUUUUGUCCUUGCGUCUCCUGUAUGGAGAGUUUUGGCUUAGUUAGUUAUGUUCUGUGACUGUGCUUUUGUUUUACUGCCAGGUCUGGGAUAUGGGACUGCUUCAGACCGUCCACAGCAUCUGGUUAUGAUCGAGCUCAUCCCCUAGCAGGGGUAAGUUUACACUUGGGAUUCUGGAGACUCUUGAGAGGGUAUAAAAAUGUCAGAGGCCUAAGAGGCUGCAGUAGCUUGCCGCCCCUGCUGUUGCUGCUUUUGCUGGCUGCUGACUGCGUUUGCUGCUUGCUGGUUAGAGAUAUCCUGAUAAUUGCCCCCAAAGAACUGAACACCCCUAAAUCAGCAGGAAGCAGUCUAAUGAGAUGGACACCCCCUCUCUCCUCUAACCUUCUUCCUUACCUACCUAGUGUUGGGGGGUUGGAAGGGAUUGGGAUGGAGAAGGGUGGCAGAUAUAAUAAUCCAAUAAAGUAGCCAGAAAGUACUGUUAUAAUCUCCAGACAUUUUCUGCUGUCCGGGGAAGGCAGGGCCUGCACCUUCUAGGGAAGAGUGCUAGUCAUCAGCUCGUGGCACUCCUCUUUAUGGUUACUAUUUAUUCUUACACAGGGUUUCACCAAGCUGCCCAUGCUGGCCUUGACCUCAUUCUGUAGCCCAGGCAGGCCUUGAGUUUUCUUCCUUCUGCUUCAGCCUCGGCAUCCCCAGACUACAGGUCAGGGCAGUCCCCACUUCUACAAACACUCUUUCAUUGCUACUUGCAUGCAAGGCACCUCCCCAGUGCCGGGGCUUGUAAGUCCAGUCAGAAAGGUAGGCACCAAUCAAGUCUUAAAUGAAAAAAAAAAAGUCUUAAAUGAGUGUGUAAUUAAACUGUAAGAGUCAGGAAGCCAAAGGGAGGGCCACGCUAGUGAAGGCUGGGGUUCUCAGCCCUGCUCAGGGUUUCCAGGCUCUUGCUGCCCCAGGACCAAAAGUUCAGAGGCAGAGUUAGGAAUUAGGACAAAGUUUACAGAUGAAAGUCCACAUUCAGGAGGGGGAACAGGUUGCUCAGACACCCUUCCUAAGAAACGAAAAAUAAAGGUGAGGGUGUUUUUUCUUUUCCUUUUCCUUCCUCUCUCCCUCCUCCUUGUCCCCUUUCUUUUUUCUUUUUCUCCCCUCUCUCCCCUCUCUCUCCUCUCUCUCUUUUCCUCCCCUCCCCUCUCUCUUGUCCUAGUGCUAAAUGGACUUGAACAUCCAGAAACCUCUGAGAAACGCUUCUUCAGCUGUCCAGAAGAAAGGUCUAGCCCCAGGAUCUCUCCCUUCAGGGCAGCUUUGAUGGUUUGGUAGACUAUUAGCAAUGGUCCAAGGUGAUUUUUACCUCACUUUUCUUACUUGUAACUUUGUAUAUUCUAUGUAACCCAGAAUCAUGCUGUAAGCUAUGCUCUGCAGUGUAUCUAUGAUGGAAGAGAUCAUUUAAGGCUAGUCAGCCCCCUCCAACCCAACCUACAGCAGCCUGAUCUUCAUAAGGAAAACAACAAAAUUAAACAUAUACAAGACAUAAGUCCAGUUGUUUUCAGGUUCAACAAAUAUGAUGAGAUACUUGUCUUUCUAUGGAUUGCUAAGACACUACCCAUUUUAGAAGGAACCAUUGCUGCCUCUAACAGUCAGAGAGCAUGUGGCCAAUGUUUAGGAGCACGUCUCAGGAUUUUUACACGGUCAGCUGACCAUUUGAAUGGCAGUUUGGUUAUUUGUAACUAUUGGUCUGUUUGGGCCUGUUUCCUUCUCUCACGUCUUAGGUUCUCUUUUCUCCCACUACCAUUCUGAUAUGUAUGGCCUUAAUUUGGUAUCAUUAUGGAUAUAUAUUUUUUUCUUACUUUGGUUAUUGCUUUUUAUUGAGAGAUUCUCCAAACUUCUUACUGACCCACCCUUCAGGUAUCACACACAGCACUUCUGAGGCUGUUUCUCUUGCCGGGGUAGUACUCAUCCAAUAUGCAUUUAAAUGUUGGGUCUUCUUGUCCCACACAAUGGCACACAUGUCAUCUUCACACUCGGGAAAUGGAGCCAGGAGGGUUAUAAGUUUGGUACCACUCAGUGCAACAAAGAGAGCACAUCUCUCAAAGUUGAGGGAGGGAUGAAGAAAGAAAGGGACAGGGGAGUUGGGCGGGGAAGAGACUUCAUCAAGGAGAACACUGAUGUCCAUUGAAUCCUAGCUAUUUGGGGUUCAGAUCUUUCUGGAAGCUUCUAGAUUGUUCUUUGACUCUGUGUGGGCCAGAGGCAGAGGACAACUUCAACUAUCGUUCCUUGGACAGAGAAUGGCAGCAGCAGGCUGUGUGGCCCAUAAAGCAGCUGUGUCAUUUUGUCCUGCACUGUCAGGGAAGGAUCAAGGAUGGAGACCGAGUCAUUCUAAGUUUGCUCCAAUUCGAAAACUAUGUCCAGCACCCCAGGAUCUGCCCUUGGCCUCCUCCCCAACCCAGCACCUACCAAAUGGGGCCUGGCUUCAGAGUGUCAGUGCUUGGCCUCCUGUGUGGAUGCUAUUUAUAAAGGGGUUAAAAAUCCCACUCUAACCUGUCCCUAAAUCCAUCAGGACCAAUUCCUCUCUGACACCUUAGAGACCUGCCCCUCUGUUCCCUCCCAAGAGUACAUCUCUUGCUGGUUCAGGUUAAUUCCCUCCACCCCAGCUUUCAAUUUCAUAAGUGCUGACAAGAACUCCAUACUAGUCAAUUUCUCCAUUGGGUGGUGCUAUUACGGUUUUAAUGUCAAUUUACCACAAAUUAGAUUCACCUGAGUAGGGAGUCUCACCUGAAGAACUAUUCCCAUUGCACUAAUGGAAUCUUCUGGACAGGUCCAGCCUUUUGAAGAAGGGGGCAUGAAAGAUUAAAAAGGAAGGUUGCUGGCCUCUCUUGCUGGCUGGCCAGCCUUCCUCGGAGCUGCUGCUGCUGCUGCCUCCUCACUGGUAUCAGAACCAGCAUUGCCAAGCUCGCACCACAGGCUAAGCACCAGCAUCCUUCCAGGAAGCUUCAGGUUUAUGUCACUAGAUUAGGACUGCUGAGGUGCCAGACCUUGUGGACAGCGACGACUGGGUUGUUGGCCUCUCCAGUGAGACAGAGCCACUGCAGGACUCUACUGAGACACCCCAUCUCAGGACAGAGCAACUACCUGGUUCUCAGACUCUUAGGUGUGAUCCAGCUGUUGUUACUUACUGUAAGCUGACUUAAUAAAUUCAUAGUUUAUGUAUGCAUAUUGACUUAUAUAUAAUAAAUUCAUGUAUAUGUAUUGUGUAUGUAUAUAUAUAUAUUUUUCAAUCUCA